AGCUGCGUGGUGAAUACAUAGCGAACUAUUCUUUCGCCUUUUACUAAAGAAUACCGUGUGUUUGCUACUGUUAAGCAGCAUAUCUUAAUUUUUUUAGGAUCCUUAAGCUUUUGUUUUGGGU
RNAcentral lists this small nuclear RNA (121 nucleotides) under Zostera marina. RNAcentral describes it as "U5 spliceosomal RNA". It matches the Rfam family "U5 spliceosomal RNA". From Rfam's summary of the family: U5 RNA is a component of both types of known spliceosome. The record is from Rfam by way of RNAcentral. Lineage: Eukaryota; Viridiplantae; Streptophyta; Magnoliopsida; Alismatales; Zosteraceae.